RNAcentral lists this ribosomal RNA (466 nucleotides) under uncultured bacterium. RNAcentral describes it as "partial 16S ribosomal RNA". It matches the Rfam family "Bacterial small subunit ribosomal RNA", at positions 28 to 507 of the family's 1533-position model. The record is from RNAcentral.
GAUGAACGCUGGCGGCGUGCUUAACACAUGCAAGUCGAACGAUGAAGCCCAGCUUGCUGGGUGGAUUAGUGGCGAACGGGUGAGUAACACGUGAGUAACCUGCCCUUAACUCUGGGAUAAGCCUGGGGAACUGGGUCUAAUACCGGAUGGGAGCGCCUACCGCAUGGUGGGUGUUGGAAAGAUUUAUCGGUUUUGGAUGGACUCGCGGCCUAUCAGCUUGUUGGUGAGGUAAUGGCUCACCAAGGCGACGACGGGUAGCCGGCCUGAGAGGGUGACCGGCCACACUGGGACUGAGACACGGCCCAGACUCCUACGGGAGGCAGCAGUGGGGAAUAUUGCACAAUGGGCGAAAGCCUGAUGCAGCGACGCCGCGUGAGGGAUGACGGCCUUCGGGUUGUAAACCUCUUUCAGUAGGGAAGAAGCGAAAGUGACGGUACCUGCAGAAGAAGCACCGGCUAACUACGUG